This 868-nucleotide long non-coding RNA is filed under the name Olea europaea subsp. europaea. Lineage: Eukaryota; Viridiplantae; Streptophyta; Magnoliopsida; Lamiales; Oleaceae. The record is from RNAcentral.
CCAAACCUCAAACUAUAGAAAAGCCCAAAUCAGAAAGAGGAAGUCCCUGAAUUAGAAAACUCUAAGAAACCUUCGUUCCUGAUUUCGAUUUCAACUCCAGUGUUCUUGAAGGGAGAAAACCUCACCCACCGCGUGAAGGAGCUACUUGAACCAACAAAGAUGAAGACUCCUAGACUGACCUGAGGUUGGGGUUUAGGCCGAGCACUUGAAGCUUGCUAAUGGGUACUAUAAGAUCAAGGCCAUACGCAAAAAGCGAGUUUAAAAGGUCCAUCAUUUCUCCUUUCUAUCUUUUCUCAUAAAAUCGAAAUAUUCAAGCUCUUUGUCUCUAGAGGAGGCACACUAGAAGUGUUCUAGUUAUUUUUUGCAGAUAGAUUAAGAUGAAAAUGAAGUGUAAUGUGGAUAUAUUUUUCAUUGUUUUGAACUUGACUAUGGAUUUUAGAGAUAACCAAAAGGUUUGUUUUCAGGUCAGUUUUCAAUUUUCUAUUGUGUAUAUAUGCUAAUGUAUAUCCUAUGGAGUUUUUUUUUUUUUUUUUAAUCCUUUUUUGUUGAUUUAAUCAUUGUAUGAUGUGAAUUUAAGACAACUAGAAUGGGAAGCGCAUAAGGAGAAAGACUACUGGUGCUAAACACGAGUGACCUCCGCCACGUUUCCCGCAGAUUCAAGACCAACACCAUUUGAAGCUUCUGUGCCUUUCGAAUUCUUAAUUGUUGUUAAUUUUGUUCGGAUGCUUGAGUUUGCCUUUUAAUAUGGAUAGACAAGAGGUCAACAUUAGCUUGAAUGCUCAAAUUAAUUUUGUCAUUGUGCUUGUCACUUUUUUUUAUUGUUUGCCAAGAUUUUGUCAUUUUUUGGAGCAUAACAAGUCGAAUAUGG